This is a long non-coding RNA of Cyprinodon tularosa, 365 nucleotides long. RefSeq lists it as uncharacterized. The transcript has 2 exons. Lineage: Eukaryota; Metazoa; Chordata; Actinopteri; Cyprinodontiformes; Cyprinodontidae. The record is from RefSeq and is a predicted model, not a curated record.
CAAAUCUUAACACAGGCCUUUAUUCUUUAUGUAUUUAUUAUUACUCAGAGAGGAGUUGUUGGAAAAUGAUUCAACUUUAGUAAAAAAGUGUGAUGAAGAAUUGAGAGGAUUAUUAGAUAUGAGUCAAAAAUCCACCACUGAGGAAAUGCAGAAAGCCUUUCACAGACAACAGCAGCUAUAUGAAACUCUCUUCCAAAGCAAGAUGAAUAUCAUUCCUGAGCUUCAGCAGGAGCUGGAGAGUAAAAAUAAAACACAUUUAGACAUCUUGAAGAGGAAUGAAGAGGAUAUUAAUGUGAUGACUGAGCAGAUGAAGGAGCAAAUGCAACUGAAGGUAAAAGAGUACCGGGAAGAGCUGAUUCAAAAAG